UACAGAGGUGGCAAGCGUUGUUCGGAAUUACUGGGCGUAAAGGGCGCGUAGGUGGCCUUCUUAGUCAGACGUGAAAUCCCCAGGCUUAACCUGGGAACUGCGUCUGGUACUGGAAGGCUCGAGUUCGGGAGAGGAAUGUGGAAUUCCAGGUGUAGCGGUGAAAUGCUUAGAUAUUACAUGGAAUACCAAUUGCGAAGGCAGGUUACUACCAAUGGAUUGACGCUGAUGGACGAAAGCGUGGGUAGCGAACAGG
RNAcentral lists this ribosomal RNA (253 nucleotides) under uncultured bacterium. RNAcentral describes it as "partial 16S ribosomal RNA". It matches the Rfam family "Bacterial small subunit ribosomal RNA", at positions 524 to 776 of the family's 1533-position model. The record is from RNAcentral.